RNAcentral lists this ribosomal RNA (721 nucleotides) under bacterium enrichment culture clone WG_28. RNAcentral's name for it is "bacterial SSU rRNA". It matches the Rfam family "Bacterial small subunit ribosomal RNA", at positions 64 to 799 of the family's 1533-position model. The record is from RNAcentral.
GAAUGAGAUUUCGGUCAAAUGAAGUUGAGGACAGCGGCGGACGGGUGAGUAACGCGUGAGGAACCUGCCUUUCAGAGGGGGACAACAGUUGGAAACGACUGCUAAUACCGCAUAACACAUUGAGGUCGCAUGGCCUUGAUGUCAAAGAUUUAUCGCUGAAAGAUGGCCUCGCGUCUGAUUAGCUAGUUGGUGAGGUAACGGCCCACCAAGGCGACGAUCAGUAGCCGGACUGAGAGGUUGAACGGCCACAUUGGGACUGAGAUANGGCCCAGACUCCUACGGGAGGCAGCAGUGGGGAAUAUUGGGCAAUGGGCGCAAGCCUGACCCAGCAACGCCGCGUGAAGGAAGAAGGCUUUCGGGUUGUAAACUUCUUUUGCAAGGGAAGAGAAGAAGACGGUACCUUGUGAAUAAGCCACGGCUAACUACGUGCCAGCAGCCGCGGUAAUACGUAGGUGGCAAGCGUUGUCCGGGUUUACUGGGUGUAAAGGGCGUGUAGCCGGGUCGGUAAGUCAGAUGUGAAAUCUAUGAGCUCAACUCAUAAACUGCAUUUGAAACUGCUGAUCUUGAGUANCGGAGAGGCAAUCGGAAUUCCUAGUGUAGCGGUGAAAUGCGUAGAUAUUAGGAGGAACACCAGUGGCGAAGGCGGAUUGCUGGACGACAACUGACGGUGAGGCGCGAAAGCGUGGGGAGCAAACAGGAUUAGAUACCCUGGUAGUCCACG